RNAcentral lists this unclassified non-coding RNA (25 nucleotides) under Mus musculus (house mouse). Its description in RNAcentral is "oocyte_clustered_small_RNA11145". Lineage: Eukaryota; Metazoa; Chordata; Mammalia; Rodentia; Muridae. The record is from RNAcentral.
UACACUCCGUGCAGGUGGCGCAAGU